This 76-nucleotide transfer RNA is filed under the name Klebsiella quasipneumoniae. RNAcentral describes it as "tRNA-Thr". It matches the Rfam family "tRNA". From Rfam's summary of the family: Transfer RNA (tRNA) molecules are approximately 80 nucleotides in length. Lineage: Bacteria; Pseudomonadati; Pseudomonadota; Gammaproteobacteria; Enterobacterales; Enterobacteriaceae. The record is from RNAcentral.
GCUGGUUUAGCUCAGCAGGUAGAGCGCCUGCCUUGUCAGCUGCGCGUCAGAGGUUCGAUUCCUUUACCCGGCACCA